This 220-nucleotide non-coding RNA is filed under the name Streptomyces sp. Lineage: Bacteria; Bacillati; Actinomycetota; Actinomycetes; Kitasatosporales; Streptomycetaceae. The record is from RNAcentral.
UACGCUGCGGGUGCAGCUGGUUCGCCCCGUCAGCCGGACGGGAUGCGUCGUAAGAGGGAACCCGGUGGGAAUCCGGGACUGCCCCGCAGCGGUGAGCGGGAACGACCGCCGUCAUCAGCACUGGACCCGGGACGGGUCUGGGAAGCGACGGCCACUAGGUGUCCUCCCCCGUGAGGACGUGCCCGCGAGUCCGAAGACCUGCCCGUUGCCCGCACGCGGA